ACAAGAUGAUAAAAUAUUUUAACUGUUAUAUUAUUAUUAUUAUCUAUUAUUAUUAUUAUUAUUGAAAUUGGCCCAUGCAUGCAUCUGGUGUUUGGGGCUCUGCUGGAACAUUGGAAAGAACUGACUUCUUCGAUAGCCAUUGAAAUUUAUCCUUCUUCUUUCUUAUAAUUUUUUUCUUUGUUUGAAUUGUAGUCAUUACUUGGUGAAAUUAAUUGUUGAGUUCUUUACACUAUAUAAAAUUGUUUCUUGGAGGUCCUAUUCAAUGACAAAAGUCAGAUUGUGUAGUCGAUAAUAUAGAAUAUAAUAGGAGUGCAGUUUUAAGGUUGGAGACUCUUGAAUAUAAUAUAUCUAUUUUAUCAAACCAUUUAAGCAGCAAAACAUUCAAAGAUAUCAAAUGCCAAUUGCUUUGGCAUUUCCUGAUUGAUUACAUUUCUAUCUAUCAAAAGAGUAAGCCUUAUCCUUUUCUGGCAUCUUUAAAUUAUCCAGUUAUUUGAAAUUUGUUCCUCAAACAGAGCCAGGGUAGACAUGAUUAAACUGUAGUGGAACACUUUUGCUGACGAAAGCUG
RNAcentral lists this unclassified non-coding RNA (566 nucleotides) under Hevea brasiliensis (rubber tree). The record is from RNAcentral. Lineage: Eukaryota; Viridiplantae; Streptophyta; Magnoliopsida; Malpighiales; Euphorbiaceae.